UAUAGUGUUUGGGCUGGAAGUAUUCUAUGUGCUUGAUCAAAUGGAAAACAAUAUUUUGCUUUCUUUGAAAAAGAAACUUGACAUAGCCCAUUAGUUAUUUAUUAGAAGGACUGAAUAACCCAAUAUUCAGUCCAAAGGCUCCCAGAGCAGCUCAAACAAUUUAAAACAACAAUAGCAAUAAAACUGAGAAUUAUUAAAAGCCAAAGGACAGCAGACUCAGCAUAAAAACAGAGCAGAGAGGCUAAAAGAUCUACAAGGUAGGUUCUAAAUGAUAUAGAUGUGAUAGGCCAUUUAAAAUAAGACUUUAAGUUUUAUGCUUUGUGCAGAAAGUCAAUAAGGAAUGGAGAGCACAUAAAAAGGCUUUUUGAAUCAGGUUAAUAAAUGAAAAUAGCUCCCUAACUAAUACCUCUCAUUCUUUCCCAAAUGAUAUAUCCCAUUGCUCAUGUUAAACUGAUUCUCACAUUUAAAACAAACCAAGAAAGCUGAAAAGCAUGAGAGAACCUUUCUUUGAGUCCUCUGGUGUCUGUCAGAUGUAUGUAGUGCCCAUCAUUCUCAAAAGUAAGCUUGGCAAACAGGAGGAUUGCAGUACUACACAUUCUGUACUCAGACGUAAGUCCCAUUAUUUGUAAUGGGGAUUACUCCCAGGUUAGUGGGUCCAUGAGCGGUUAUAGCAGGGGGUGCAUUACCCUAAUGGGAAACUGACCCUAAAGUGGGAGAGACCAGGCAUGCACACAACUGCACACCCUUAACAUAAACACACACAUACACACCCUUAACACAUACAGACACAAAGGGCCCUUCCGACAACCUUUUUAUGGUGCACUGGUGAUCAUAGAAUCAUAAAAUCAUAGAAUUAGAAAGUUGGAAGGGACCCCAAGGGUAAUGUAGUCCACCCCUCUGCAAAGUUGGAAUCUCAGCUAAAGCAUCCGUGACAAAUGGCCAUCCAACCUCUGCUUAAAAACCUCCAAGGAAGGAGAGUCCACCACCUCCUGAGGGAUUCCAUUCCACUAACAGCUCUUACCAUCAGAAAGUUCUUCCUGAUGGUUAGUUGGAAUCUUCUUUCUUGUAGCUUGAAUGCAUUUGUUCAGGACUUACCUUCCAGAGCAGGAGAAAACAAGCUUGUUCUCUCUUCCCUGUAUGUGACAGUCCUUGAGAUAUUUGAAGGUGGCUAUCAUAUCUCCUCUCAGUCCUCUCUCUUUUCCAGGCUAAACAUAUCCAGUUCCUUCAACUGUUCCUCAUAAGGCUUGAUUUCCAGACCCUUGAUCAUCUUGGUUGCCCUCCUCUGCACACAUUCCAGAAUUCCAGCCUCAGGAAGGAGCUCACCCCAUCGCCGGGAUUUGAACCGCCAACCUUCCAAUUGGCAAGCCCUAGGCUCAGUGGUUUAGACCACAGCUUAAAUUUCUCUUGAUUAGUGUGUGAAGAUCUGUUUGAUGUAGUCACUCAACUGAUGCUCAGUGCAGUCAGCCCUGACAAUACAGAUCAUUUGUUGGAGGCAGCAAAAAAGAAACCAUCACAGUUUCCUCACCUGCCCCCAGUUCAUCAGCAUUUGAAAUCUACGGCUCUGGCAAUCUGCUCAGAACUACAUAUCAAUCCAGUCUCGUAACAAUGUGUAUAUUGCAAGGCUGGGGGAGAAUAUGGGAAAUCAGGCUCUGGAAGAACAGGUGACCACCAGUAUGUAGCUCCUGGUCCACAAGCUGAGAUGUGAACGAGAGUGUGCUUCUUUCUGUCUGUGGAUUGUGUAUGUAUGAAGAAAUAGAAUGCUGUAUUGAACCGAGUUGCUUCCAUCUGAUAAAUAAUCAUACUCUGGUGAACAAUGGAUGCCAUGGAAAAAUGCAAAUGCAAGUCAGCAUGAAAUCUGAUGACCACGAGAUGCAACAGUAUAGCAGAUCUUAAAUGGAGACGAUUUCACAAGAUGCUUGAUUUAAAUGAAUACCAGUUAGCCAGAGCACAGGGAAAGACCACGGCAACACCUUUGCUAUUAAUCUCAACGUCCAGGUUCACAAUUCUAUCUUGAAGAACACCCUGUUCCAGAGUAUUAAGUGGAAUUAUCAGGCCUUUGACUAAAAUUAAUGAACACAAUGUGGGAUGUAGCGUGGAAAAAAGAGAUUAUCACAGCCCUUCAUUAGCCGUCUCAUUGUUAUGACCUUGAUCUGAGCUGGAUUUGAUUAUAUCACUGUCAUAAAAGGUCUGUCACCAUUUAAAAUAGAAAAUUUCAGGAUAAGGAUAGAAAUGUAUUACUAUUUUAGCAGAAACUAGCUGAGACAUGGAAAGAAAUGAGUAUACCGCAUAAAAUUAUAUUUAAUGACUAUGUAAAAAAAGAAAGAAGAAAGAAAAAUCCCAGAGGAGAACGCCUAUGAUUCAAAUCUUGGUUAGGAAGUAUAAUUCAAAUGCAGUGGAUGCCACAAAUCUCCUCCUCCCUCAUUUAUUUAAAUAUAUUAGCUGGAGAUUUUAAUGUCAUCCAGUAACAAUACUAAAUGUUAGGCUAUAAAAUCAACAAAUUGCAAAAAUAUAGAGAAGGCAAUAAAUAUCUAUACUAAAUAAUAAAAGCAACAAUUAAAUAUGAUGGAUUCAAGAUGUUUGCAAGGUAAUAAAAUUGAUGCGAGGAAUAAAUCUUCUAAGUUCAUUUAAAAAUGAAUGUUUUGUAAUCAUAAAAAGAUCAUGCACACAAGUACAGGCACUAAUAUGUGAAAAAAUAAUGAUUGGGUAUUUAAAUUCACUGUAUGCAAUGAGUGGCAAUGUUUUCAAAAUCUCAGUAGAAAAUGGAUGUGUGCACCAUGAAGCAUAGAGCAGCUCAUAAAAAGGCAACAUCUCUCUACUCCUCAAAACCAUUUCUCAAAAGAUGAGCUCAGAAACAUAAGUUGCACUGAUAUUCACACUAAAAUAUGCUUUCCAGCGAUUUUACUGUAGAAUUUACCAGUGAAUUGCAAGAAACUGCCAAUGAGUGUUAAAUAUAAUGGUUUAAUUGUACGUGGAAAUGGAAAAUGGCUCUUCAUGUGUAUUGCUAAAGGGAACAUGGAAAAUCCCACUGAAGCUAAGUGAGGCUCUCUGAGUGCCUGACAGGUUGAAAAUUAACUAAGAAUGUGCCUCUGCUAGCUCUCAUGUGGUAUUUACAGUAACCUUAGAUAACAUGAGUAAGAUAUUCAGUUGCAAAGCACCAUUUUGUGUGAGCUAGUCUUUGUUCUCAAGCCACUUGAGAGAAAGUGUGCUAAUGAUCUCUCUCCUGGAAAGAACACAGCCUCAGGAAGGUAAUGAUGUCUGUGUGGAGAGAGAGAGUUUUGAUUUCAGUUCUCUUUGAAGUAAUUUCAUUUUUUAAAGAUGUUGAACCUGUGCUUGGACAAGCACACAGUAUUUUAUGUAACUAUUUG
This 3365-nucleotide long non-coding RNA is filed under the name Podarcis lilfordi (Lilford's wall lizard). The record is from RNAcentral. Lineage: Eukaryota; Metazoa; Chordata; Lepidosauria; Squamata; Lacertidae.